CCCGGGGAAGCAACGGGGCACCGGGCUUUUAACUCGGAGACGGAUAAUUAAAUCCCCCCGGGG
Molecule: transfer RNA, 63 nt
Filed under: Lyonsia norwegica
Lineage: Eukaryota; Metazoa; Mollusca; Bivalvia; Lyonsiidae
Description: tRNA-Lys
Source: RNAcentral